This is a long non-coding RNA of Dendrobium catenatum, 365 nucleotides long. RefSeq lists it as uncharacterized. The record is from RefSeq and is a predicted model, not a curated record. The transcript has 2 exons. Lineage: Eukaryota; Viridiplantae; Streptophyta; Magnoliopsida; Asparagales; Orchidaceae.
AUUCUUAUUCUUGGACCGGACCGGCCGCCGAUCCAGUUCCUUUUUCCUGCAAGAGCCCUAGGGCUACUUGCGAACUAACCGCGGAGAACCCUAGAGGAGAUCGGCGAAGUAAUCUAACUUGCAGAAAUGAGGGCGAAGUGGAAGAAGAAGCGCAUGAGGCGGCUGAAGAGGAAACGUCGAAAGAUGAGGCAGAGAUCGAAGUAGUAGUAUUACAUGAUGUGUCUGUCUGCCAUAUGUGGAUGGUAUUAGUAUAACCACUAUGUUGUUGAAUCUUUAUCUUUCUGUCAAACAGUUAGCUUGAUGUUGGAGACCUUUCUUGCUGUGUUCUUUUUCUGGUUUUAAUUUUAUUGAUUUUGUUAACUAUA